Molecule: long non-coding RNA, 450 nt
Filed under: Homo sapiens (human)
Lineage: Eukaryota; Metazoa; Chordata; Mammalia; Primates; Hominidae
Description: HSALNT0374697
Source: RNAcentral
CUGUUCCCUAAAAGCGAUGAGAACACAGGUCAAAAAUGUCAAAAUUAACUUUCUCAGAACUCUGGAAAUUAAUCAAAGGCUUGUGAUGAUCCAAGGAGUGUUUAUUCAAGAAAACCAGUUGAAUGUUGCUCCCCUGUCCCCACACAAGAUGGACAUGGACACAGAAGAACUAGACUUGGCCAGGAAGUAUAAUCAGCACCCAAGAUCCAAAGAGCUUAAGUGUUACAAAAUGAUACUCACCAGAGGGACCCAGACAAGAGUUCCUGUUUUAGUUGGCUUCUCUUCAUUGGAAGAAACAGAUUCACUCAAGUGACUUCAAGAAGAAUAGAGUUUAUUAUGAGGAUGCAGGUAAAAGAGCAUUUGUGGGGCCGGGCUCGGUGUCUCACACCUGUAAUCCCAGCACUUUGGGAGGCCAAGGCAGGUGGAUCACAAGGUCAGGAGUUCAAGACC